CAGCACCACACGUGUGGGUACAUGCACAAGAAGGGAAGAGUGUUUUUACUUUUCUCACUACGCCAUUUACUCUAGUGUGCACUUCUAGAGCAUUUAUCGGGGAUGAAGAACUGAAGAACUGUCACUUCUAGAGCAAUACAAAGCACAUGAGUGGAUGAACACUUAGAAUGACAAGCAUUUCCAAAGAGAUACACAUUGCGAAUAGGCUAUAGCAAAUAAUUCAACUUAAUGUGCAAGAUGAGC
Molecule: non-coding RNA, 243 nt
Organism: Pelobates cultripes (western spadefoot toad)
Lineage: Eukaryota; Metazoa; Chordata; Amphibia; Anura; Pelobatidae
Source: the annotation of a GenBank genome assembly